This 465-nucleotide ribosomal RNA is filed under the name Vreelandella stevensii. RNAcentral's name for it is "partial 16S ribosomal RNA". It matches the Rfam family "Bacterial small subunit ribosomal RNA", at positions 338 to 795 of the family's 1533-position model. The record is from RNAcentral. Lineage: Bacteria; Pseudomonadati; Pseudomonadota; Gammaproteobacteria; Oceanospirillales; Halomonadaceae.
CCUACGGGGGGCAGCAGUGGGGAAUAUUGGACAAUGGGGGGAACCCUGAUCCAGCCAUGCCGCGUGUGUGAAGAAGGCCCUCGGGUUGUAAAGCACUUUCAGUGAGGAAGAACGCCUGGUGGUUAAUACCCAUCAGGAAAGACAUCACUCACAGAAGAAGCACCGGCUAACUCCGUGCCAGCAGCCGCGGUAAUACGGAGGGUGCGAGCGUUAAUCGGAAUUACUGGGCGUAAAGCGCGCGUAGGUGGCUUGAUAAGCCGGUUGUGAAAGCCCCGGGCUCAACCUGGGAACGGCAUCCGGAACUGUCAAGCUAGAGUGCAGGAGAGGAAGGUAGAAUUCCCGGUGUAGCGGUGAAAUGCGUAGAGAUCGGGAGGAAUACCAGUGGCGAAGGCGGCCUUCUGGACUGACACUGACACUGAGGUGCGAAAGCGUGGGUAGCAAACAGGAUUUGAUACCCUAGUAGUC